ACACCAUUAAGGAAGUUAAUGAGAGCGCUGAGAAAUAUCUACUUAAUGAGCCUUUGAAAAUCAGUAUGACCCUGGGUACUGUGAUGGCAGCAGAGUUAAAUGGGGGAUGCAUUUUGAUUAAAUCUGCUGUCAUAUUCUAUUCUUAAUGUUACUGCUUUGCUUUUACAUUAUCUCCCAUUUAAAGAUAAAAGCUUUUUGUCCUGUUUCCAUUAUUUUAAGUAACAGUUAUGACUUUUAUUCAUGGGCGGAUUAUGAAACAAUGGUUUCAUAUGCAAAAGCAUAUGCACCAUGUCUCAGACUUUGUCGUGGUUUUGUGUCUCUUUGAGAUGACUUUGUGUUUUUUGGUUGUUUAGUGUCACUUUGUAUUCAGCUGGUGUCUCCUUGAGGUUGAUUUGGCUGUUUUUUAAUUUAUUUUGUGUCUCUUUGUAGUUAUUUUUCAUCUCUUUGUGGUCAUUUUGAGUCUCUUCUUGGUCAGUGUGUGUUAAUUUGUGUGACAUUUGGCAGGUGAAGGCCAGGGGGCCCCCUGACACUUUGGGCUCCUGGGCCUGUGCCCUGUAAGCCAGUUCAGCAGUCCAUCUGUGCUUCUAUUGCACCAGCACAUUGGUCUGAUCUGAUUCCAUUUUUAUAUAGCCAUUCAAACACAUUUUUGUACAAAAUGUUAUAUAUGAGAGAGAGGGGUUUUUUCCUCUUGUGACAGUUGAAUAUAACUUUAUAUGGCAUUAUUAUAAUGUAUGAAAUCAAUCAUCAAUAUUGGGUGCAUGCCAUGGUACUUUUUCAGUACACUCAUUUCUUUGGGGUCUGUUUCAUUUUGGAGGCGCAGAGGGAAAAUGUAGUUAUAUGCUGCCCCCUGCUGUUCAAAAGACAACAGUCACUAAAGGGUGCAUUUGAUUACAGAUGCCAGGACAGGAAAUUAAAAGCUUGCGUGCACCAGUUUGUGCACACAAUCACGCAGUGCAAGGGAUUUGUGAAGCUGUGAGGAAGAAAAGCAUUAGCUCAUGCUGCUGAUUACUUCCCUUAUGUUUGCACUACAACAUCAUUAAGGUUUUACAAAGGCAAAGAAAGUAAUGGACUAUUCUGACUGACACGUCCGACAAGAGCUGCUGUGGUGCCACCAUCCCAGACUGUCAGCAAACUGGUAUUUUUGGCCAGACAGGACUGUGUGCUAUUUUAUGCAAAUGAAGGCAGAUUUUUGGGGAGAAAAACAAACAAAUAGAGGGCUUAUUAGAAGAAACACUUGUCAUAAAACAUAAAAUAUAUUCUAUUAUCCAGUAUAAACCCACUUCCUGAGCUGUGCAUCAGGGUGGGGCUCAAAAGACCCUGAGCCCAAAUCCUAUUUAAAAAGGGGUAGAGGUGAAACAGAUUUUAAGUUCAGGUCUAAUCCAGCUCAGUGACGAAGAACAAACCCACCCACCCAGACAGGGAGUUCCACCUGCAGGUCAAGACACUGAUACCUGCAUAGAUCAACCCUUCAAAUCACAGGUGAGAGCACCGCUCCGUUAACCAUCUCAAAAGACAUCAGUAUAAACAUUGUCUGGGCUUAAUUCAUUCAGCGUAAAGUCAAAAUCCCAUUACAUUUGCACACACUCAUUGGAGCUGUUAAAAUACCUGUGAUCCUCGUGCAGCUGAGCUGAAAGUGCUCUUCAGCUGAUUAAAACAGAGCAAGAAUUCACUGUUCUCCUUCAACUAUAAUCUCUAAUUGAGAGUGAUGGUGCUUCCCUGCUGACCUACUAUUAACUCACUUCACCAAGUCUCAUGGCUUUUUAUUGCUUUGCUUUUUAUUCCAAACGCAAUUUAUCAUUUUAUUCAUUAUCUAAUUAUAGUGUUGAUCAGACUGAUCUCAUGUGGGUGUGACGGAUACAGCAGCAGCCUGAGGUUAUCUGAGCAUGAUAACAAAUUCUCUCACAGAUCUACUGGUCCCGACAAGGACAACUGGUCAUGUUGCGCCAAUCAGGGUCGCCCAUUCCUUCACAGGCUACUUUUCAUUGGCUGAAGAGACGGGCGUGAAACAUACGCAAUACGCCGUGGCAUAGACAUGUACGUCUAUGCACCGUGGUACCAGUCUCAACGAUGAGACGUUUAGGGAACGCACAGAAUGUACGACCAAUGGCCUAUGAUAUGAUAUGUGCCUAUUUGUGUGCUACCUGUGGGGAGACAUGAUUUUUUAAUUUAAAAACAUAUCUAUCUAUCUAUCUAUCUAUCUAUCU
This is a long non-coding RNA of Epinephelus fuscoguttatus (brown-marbled grouper), 2204 nucleotides long. RefSeq lists it as uncharacterized. The transcript is spliced from 3 exons. NCBI's taxonomy places the organism in Eukaryota, Metazoa, Chordata, Actinopteri, Perciformes, Serranidae. The record is from RefSeq and is a predicted model, not a curated record.